GCCAAUUUUAUAUUACCUUCACCAUUAAACCCAAUAAUCACCAUUCUCGAAUCAAAACAUCCAAACCCGCACUUUCUUUCUUUCUCUUCUUUUUCCAUCCUUCACCGUCAACGACGGCGCCUCUUUAGUUCAACUCUCAUCUUCGAUCACCGGUCAUCGUGCGAUCCUCCAACCUCCAUUCUCGGUCGUGGGUUCAUUUCAUCAGUUCUUCUUUUCGCCAGUUUAGUUCUCAUCACUGGCAUCGCUUCAACACCAGCUAGGGCUCCUCGCAGGCGAACCAAGACCCGAUCAUUCAGUUGCGGUGUUCCUUCGUCGUUCCUCAUUCUAUUCCAUCGAUCUUGGUACUCUUGGAACUACCACUAUUUCUUUUAUAGUAGUUGUAUCAUAGAUUGGUUGAGUCUUGAAUGGCUCUUGUGAUUCUGUGCUGCAAUUGAGAAAUUCGUAGGUACGUAUUUGUUGCUUAGGUACCUGAACUUACUGCAGUAUGAUAUUAAGUAUCUGUGCAUUGAAUUGCACAUUGGUACCUGUGUUUCUUGCAUAUUUUACAUGUCCCUUGUUAUUUGUAUUAGUAGAGAUGGCAUCAGACUCUGAUUCUGACUCGUAGGAUAGGUCUAUGGAAUUAGUAUAAAGCUACCACAGCUCUUGAAUGUGUUCCCUCCAUUGCUCUAGUUCAUACUCCUCCAAAGGGUUGGACUUUCCCUUCGAAGGGUAACUUUAAAAUGAGUACAGACACAAGUGUUCCUGGAACUGGGAAAGUGGAGCUUGGAAUGGUGAUUCGAGAUCAUCAUGGGCAUGUUAUGAUGGCUGCAUCAAGGGUUGUCUCGAUUAAUAUGAAUCCAGCUAUAGCGGAGAUUCGUGCUAUUGACUAUGGUUGGCAAAUAGCUUUGGACGCAGGUUUGAGACUUGAGAGUGAUGCCCGUUUACUAUAGCUGCUCUCAAUGGUGGUCCUCCUGUUUCUCCUUUCCAAGCAAAUAUUGUUAGGAAAGUGCUCCAACUUUCAAAUAAUCUUGCUUUUAUUAAUUUUAAAUUUGUUUCUAGUUCUUCAAAUGUUCUUGCUCAUUCUUUAGCUAAAGAAGCUCUUAUUUGUGAGAGUCAAGAGAUCAUAUGGAUGGAGGAGUUUUCUAUCCAUCUUACCGGCAAUAUCAGCUUUGAUAUAUUGCUAACUUCAACUAUUUGUCAUUAAUGUUACUCUUGUUUUCUGCUAAAAAAAUAUGAUGUGUGACGUACAUAAAUUGAUAUAAUAAUU
RNAcentral lists this unclassified non-coding RNA (1246 nucleotides) under Hevea brasiliensis (rubber tree). Lineage: Eukaryota; Viridiplantae; Streptophyta; Magnoliopsida; Malpighiales; Euphorbiaceae. The record is from RNAcentral.